RNAcentral lists this ribosomal RNA (404 nucleotides) under uncultured bacterium. Its description in RNAcentral is "bacterial SSU rRNA". It matches the Rfam family "Bacterial small subunit ribosomal RNA", at positions 355 to 756 of the family's 1533-position model. The record is from RNAcentral.
UGAGGAAUAUUGGUCAAUGGGGGCAACCCUGAACCAGCCAAGUCGCGUGAAGGAUGAAGGUCUUAUGGAUUGUAAACUUCUUUUACACGGGAAUAAAGCGGGGGACGUGUCCCUCUUUGCAUGUACCGUGUGAAUAAGGAUCGGCUAACUCCGUGCCAGCAGCCGCGGUAAUACGGAGGAUCCGAGCGUUAUCCAGAUUUAUUGGGUUUAAAGGGUGCGCAGGCGGGAUGUUAAGUCGGCGGUGAAAUUUUGCAGCUCAACUGUAAAAGUGCCUUCGNUACUGGCCUUCUUGAGUGUGGAUGAAGUAGGCGGAAUUUAUGGUGUAGCGGUGAAAUGCUUUGAUAUCACGAGGUACUCCGAUUGCGCAGACAGCUGACUAAGCCACACCUGACGCUCAUGCACGA